ACGGAAGGCAGCAGUGGGGAAUAUUGGACAAUGGGGGAAACCCUGAUCCAGCGACGCCGCGUGAGUGAAGAAGUAUUUCGGUAUGUAAAGCUCUAUCAGCAAGGAAGAAAAUGACGGUACUUGACUAAGAAGCUCUGGCUAAAUACGUGCCAGCAGCCGCGGUAAUACGUAUGGAGCAAGCGUUAUCCGGAUUUACUGGGUGUAAAGGGAGCGUAGACGGCGAAACAAGUCUGAAGUGAAAUCCCGGGGCUCAACCCCGGAACUGCUUUGGAAACUGUUUUGCUGGAGUGCAGGAGAGGUAAGCGGAAUUCCUAGUGUAGCGGUGAAAUGCGUAGAUAUUAGGAGGGACACCAGUGGCGAAGGCGGUUAGCUGGACAAUAACUGACGCUGAGGCGCGAAAGCGUGGGUAGCAAACAGGAUUAGAUACCCUGGUA
RNAcentral lists this ribosomal RNA (434 nucleotides) under uncultured Lachnospiraceae bacterium. RNAcentral's name for it is "bacterial SSU rRNA". It matches the Rfam family "Bacterial small subunit ribosomal RNA", at positions 341 to 792 of the family's 1533-position model. Lineage: Bacteria; Bacillati; Bacillota; Clostridia; Lachnospirales; Lachnospiraceae. The record is from RNAcentral.